CUGGUACAGGUACGGGGAGGCA
Molecule: microRNA, 22 nt
Filed under: Bos taurus (domestic cattle)
Lineage: Eukaryota; Metazoa; Chordata; Mammalia; Artiodactyla; Bovidae
Description: Bta-Mir-150_3p* (star (passenger))
Source: RNAcentral